RNAcentral lists this unclassified non-coding RNA (326 nucleotides) under soil metagenome. Its description in RNAcentral is "partial contains 5.8S ribosomal RNA, internal transcribed spacer 2, and large subunit ribosomal RNA". The stretch from base 1 to 120 matches the Rfam family "5.8S ribosomal RNA", at positions 35 to 154 of the family's 154-position model. The record is from RNAcentral.
GAUGAAGAACGUAGCGAAAUGCGAUAAGUAAUGUGAAUUGCAGAAUUCAGUGAAUCAUCGAAUCUUUGAACGCACAUUGCGCCCCUUGGUAUUCCGAGGGGCAUGCCUGUUCGAGCGUCAUAUUAACCACUCCCGCUUGCGGGGUCUUGGGCUUCGCCUCCGGGCGGGCCUUAAAAUCAGUGGCGGUGCCGUCGGGCUCUACGCGUAGUAAAUUUUCUCGCGAUAGGGUCCCGGUGGAUGCUUGCCAACAACCCCCACCUUCUUAAGGUUGACCUCGGAUCAGGUAGGGAUACCCGCUGAACUUAAGCAUAUCAAUAAGCGGAGGA